This 337-nucleotide unclassified non-coding RNA is filed under the name soil metagenome. Its description in RNAcentral is "partial contains 5.8S ribosomal RNA, internal transcribed spacer 2, and large subunit ribosomal RNA". The stretch from base 1 to 120 matches the Rfam family "5.8S ribosomal RNA", at positions 35 to 154 of the family's 154-position model. The record is from RNAcentral.
GAUGAAGAACGUAGCGAAAUGCGAUAAGUAGUGUGAAUUGCAGAAUUCAGUGAAUCAUCGAAUCUUUGAACGCACAUUGCGCCCCAUGGUAUUCCGUGGGGCAUGCCUGUUCGAGCGUCAUUUACCCCCUCAAGCUCCGCUUGGUGUUGGGCGUCUGUCCCGCUUCGCGCGCGGACUCGCCCCAAAGGUAUUGGCAGCGGUCGUGCCAGCUUCUCGCGCAGCACAUUGCGCUUCCCGAGGCACCGGUGGGCCCGCGUCCAUCAAGCUCACCCCCCCAGUUUGACCUCGGAUCAGGUAGGGAUACCCGCUGAACUUAAGCAUAUCAAUAAGCGGAGGA